GAUGAAGAACGCAUCGAAAUGCGAUAAGUAAUGUGAAUUGCAGAAUUCAGUGAAUCAUCGAAUCUUUGAACGCACCUUGCGCCCUUUGGCCAUUCCGAAGGGCAUGCCUGUUUGAGUAUCAUGAACACCUCAACUCUUCAUGGUUUUCCAUGAUGAGCUUGGACUUUGGGGGUCUUGCUGGCCUGUGGGUCGGCUCCUCUCAAAUGAAUCAGCUUGCCGGUUUUUGGUGGGCAUCACAGGUGUGAUAACUAUCUACGCUUGUGGUUUUCCACCAGGGUAACCUUCAGCAGUGGAGGUUCACUGGAGCUUACAAAUGUCUCUCCUCUGUGAGGACAGCCCUUUGAAUGUUUGAUCUCAAAUCAGGUAGGACUACCCGCUGAACUUAAGCAUAUCAAUAAGCGGAGGA
This 406-nucleotide unclassified non-coding RNA is filed under the name soil metagenome. RNAcentral describes it as "partial contains 5.8S ribosomal RNA, internal transcribed spacer 2, and large subunit ribosomal RNA". The stretch from base 1 to 121 matches the Rfam family "5.8S ribosomal RNA", at positions 35 to 154 of the family's 154-position model. The record is from RNAcentral.